GAUCCGUUAGCUCAGCUUGGGAGAGCGCUACCUUGACAGGGUAGAGGUCAUUGGUUCGAGCCCAAUACGGGUCA
Molecule: transfer RNA, 74 nt
Rfam family: tRNA
About the family: Transfer RNA (tRNA) molecules are approximately 80 nucleotides in length. Their secondary structure includes four short double-helical elements and three loops (D, anti-codon, and T loops). Further hydrogen bonds mediate the characteristic L-shaped molecular structure. tRNAs have two regions of fundamental functional importance: the anti-codon, which is responsible for specific mRNA codon recognition, and the 3' end, to which the tRNAs corresponding amino acid is attached (by aminoacyl-tRNA synthetases). tRNAs cope with the degeneracy of the genetic code in two manners: having more than one tRNA (with a specific anti-codon) for a particular amino acid; and 'wobble' base-pairing, i.e. permitting non-standard base-pairing at the 3rd anti-codon position.